GUCUUUUCCUGAAGGGAUCCGAAAAAUUCCAACUCCAGCACUAUUUCGACAUGUACCACAGCCGAUAUGGAGCAAUUCGCUCCCGGCAUCGCGGAAAAUUCAAUGAAAUUUAAUGUUUUUAGGCUCUGUUUGGCUUAAACUAUUAAACUAUCGUAUAUGUAAACACCUCGAAGCAUGCACUAUAAGUUCCACGUGACCGAGAACAAUAAGUUAUUUUGUCACGUGAUCCGGCCUUCCAAACCCUCAUUAUAUUAACUAUG
Molecule: non-coding RNA, 260 nt
Organism: Paramuricea clavata
Lineage: Eukaryota; Metazoa; Cnidaria; Anthozoa; Malacalcyonacea; Plexauridae
Source: the annotation of a GenBank genome assembly